GACUGCUCCGGUGGCCUAGUGGUUAGAGCAUCUGCUUCUGAUGUGGGAGGUCAUGGGUUAGAUCCCCAGCUGAGUCA
Molecule: non-coding RNA, 77 nt
Organism: Potamilus streckersoni
Lineage: Eukaryota; Metazoa; Mollusca; Bivalvia; Unionida; Unionidae
Source: the annotation of a GenBank genome assembly